Haliotis rubra (blacklip abalone) is the source of this 116-nucleotide long non-coding RNA. RefSeq lists it as uncharacterized. The record is from RefSeq and is a predicted model, not a curated record. The transcript has 5 exons. NCBI's taxonomy places the organism in Eukaryota, Metazoa, Mollusca, Gastropoda, Lepetellida, Haliotidae.
CAGAUUCUUGUUUGCAACACAUUUUUGGAUUGUGUUGUAUGGUAUGGGUAAUUGCACUUAUGGCUUUGGAAACAGCUGUUGGCUUGAUUAGAGAUUCGAAGAAAAAAGAAUAAUGC